ACGGCCAUAUCUCGUUGAAACGCCGGUUCUCGUAGGAUCACCGAAAUUAAGCAACGUCGAGUCUCGUCCGUACCUAGAUGGGUGACCGCUUCAGUAUACUAGAUGCUGUAA
Molecule: non-coding RNA, 111 nt
Organism: Acanthosepion pharaonis
Lineage: Eukaryota; Metazoa; Mollusca; Cephalopoda; Sepiida; Sepiidae
Source: the annotation of a GenBank genome assembly